UCAGAGCUGUUGAAGCUGAUAUUUUCAGAGCUAUCGACGGAAAUCUGAGGCAUCACUUCCCUUUUUCUUUUCUCUCUCUCUCUUUAUUUAUUUAUUUAUUUAUUUAAAUGCUAGCUCUAAAGUCUCUGAGAUAUCUUUGAAAGCCUCAGCCUGUGGAUUUAGGGGCAGGGACAUGGGGGAAGGAGAUGGCCAGCCCAGGGUUAAGGUAGUGUUUCACCUAUGCUGGCCCGUCAAAACCUCACGUUAAGCUCACACAGCCUAACACAACAUGGAUGGACACCUCUGCCACCACAGACAGAUGGGUCUCGGCCUUGUUUCUGCUCAAGCCCAGCUGGAACUGGGGCCCCCACCAAUAUCAGCUCCUUCCAGAGACAUGCUGAUGAUCCAGUGAGGCCGCGAAGGAUGUGUAAGGGGUUUAUGAAAGAAAAGCCAAAGUGUUUGCAGUAAGAAAUGGGCCAGAAGACAUGUGGUGACCUCUGAGUGACGGGACCUGUUGGAGCCAUGGGAAGAAUGGAAGCAGAGCCCAGGACCUCUUCUCCUUCUGGGGCCACGUCCUUCACCAGCAUAAACAGGCUGAACUCUGCCUGGCCAGACUGCUGCCUUGUGUGCCAACACAGCCCGUGCCCCGCACUCACAGCCCAUUUCCUUUUUUGAGCCACAUAACACCAGAUACGAGCCUCAGCCCCCAGCUGCCAUCACCUGGGGGCACACAAGGCCAUUUCAGCAAACUCCUGACCCUACAAAACAAGCAAACAAAACAACCAGAACCUCCCCAAAAGAAUUCAACCAGUCAUGAAAUCGCAGCAUCCACCAGCACGGCUGUGAGAGCAGACAUCCCCAGUCUCCUUUUUUUCUCGUGUGUGACAUUUUUACUUCCUCCAGAGUUGUGUGUGCCCUCCGGACAAGCGAUUAAAUUAGAAGAUCAACAAUACAUGACGAAGGAGUGGGAUCAAUUUGCAGAGAAACGGCUGGAAGUGGUUUAUUACAUCUUUUAUCUUUUUUGCUGGGAGAUCACUUGCCAUAUCACUAAAAGAGAAAUCAAGUGACUGGGAUGACCAGCGACUAAAAAUUGCCUUUUUCUUCAUGAGUCGAUGUGACGACAAUAUUAUUUUGAAUAAAAUUAAAUACACAGAUCAGCUAAAAUCGCUUGCUUGGGGUCGGGCUCUGAUCCCAGUUACCCCAGCAGCACAUGGCUUUGUUGCAGCAAUUCAAACCCUCGUGUUCAUGUUUACCACAAAAUAAGGACACAGAUCCCGUGGCAACUCACCUGAUGCCAGGCCACGUGUGUGCACCCAGUGCCUAUGUCCCAAAAUACAGCCCCUGACCCCUUCCCUGCUGCAAUAAAGCCAUUUUCACCCACUGACCAAGACCCUCAAAGGACAUCGCCCACUAGCACACGGGCAGUGCUGUGCUGCCUCAUGCACCUCACGGUCACACCACUUCCAGCUCCUUUGGCACCAGCAGAGUGGUGGAUAGGAGACCAGAAAGCAAGAAGGGAAAAAGCCCUGCUCCCAAAAACCUUCCAAAAUGAGCAAAGUUGCCAGUUUUUAUCAAGUAAUAAUUUCCAGGUGCAGUGAGCUGUCAAAGCACAAGAUGUGCUGCACCAGGCUGGGAGUAAAGUGCUGAGAUCACCAAAAAGUACUGCAACUCCCAGGGAAAGGGAGAAACCCUUAGAGAUGCAGCGGGGGACAUCGUUGUUGUAUUAUCCUGAUCUUCUCUUUCUCUUUUUAACCUUAUUUGAGCUGUUAGUGGCUGGCAAGAUCAUCGUCUUUCGCUCGAGCCUCUCUGAAUUUGGGAAAUUCAAGUCAGAGAAAGAGCCCAACCCCGUCAAUUAUGAACAGACAGGACACGAUAACACACUUGAAACAGGUCCAGCAUUUAAAAACCCUUGCUAUAAAAAGGCAGAAGUUAAUUCAAUCACAGAAAACAACACUGCAGGACCUAUUAAUGCCGGGUCCCCGUGUUUUCAUCGAGAGCUCUGUCUUGUGCUUUUCCCCCAUCAUCUGCUAUUCACAUGACUCCACUUAGCAACCGCGUCUGAUUAAGCUUGUUUGUGCGCUGGGUGCUAUUAUUUCUGCUUCGAAUUAGUGCCUCCUUGUUCUCCUAUUUCCCCAAAUAUAGCUGAAUUAUCUCCUUUCACCCAGAGCUUGGGUGCGCGGUUGUUCCACUCGGGCGGGGUGAAGCAGCGCAUCCUCACCGCUGCCGUCCUAUGCGGGAUGGGAGAAAACAACGCUUGUUUUCAUGCAAAUCCCCUCUGUCUGUCAGGCAUCACAGUUGUCAAGCAGGUCAUUAGAAGCCUACUGUGUAAAAUGAAGAUUACUAAUUAGAGCUGGAGAAAUAAUUUGCAACAAAUAAUUUAUCCAAUGAGGUUGGAUUUUUUUUUCUCCGUGCAUGCAGGUUGUGACUUCGCCGGAGCCGGCCAUCGUUAAUGCUUUUUACUCAUUCUGCUCAUUGUGAUGGAUUCUGGUUUUUCAUUAUUACUUUCCUAAGAUGGGUGCCAACUUGGUGUUGAUGUGGGGUUUAUUUCCUGGCUUCGGAUAUCAAAAUAUGGCUGAAAUGAGUAAACGCUAGGUAUAGACUUAAAAAGUGCAUUCCCCCAACAUUGAUUUGUGUUUCUGCAAACAUCACACCACAAAAGUGGUUUGGGAAAUUUCUGUUAAAAU
Molecule: non-coding RNA, 2663 nt
Organism: Anas platyrhynchos (mallard)
Lineage: Eukaryota; Metazoa; Chordata; Aves; Anseriformes; Anatidae
Source: RefSeq, a predicted model, not a curated record